Molecule: ribosomal RNA, 498 nt
Filed under: uncultured bacterium
Lineage: Bacteria
Description: partial 16S ribosomal RNA
Rfam family: Bacterial small subunit ribosomal RNA
Source: RNAcentral
GACGAACGCUGGCGGCGUGCCUAAUACAUGCAAGUCGAACGAGAGCGCCCGGUGCUUGCACUGGUCAAUCUAGUGGCGAACGGGUGAGUAACACGUGGGUAACCUGCCCAUCAGAGGGGGAUAACAUCCGGAAACGGAUGCUAAAACCGCAUAGGUCUUCGAACCGCAUGGUUUGAAGAGGAAAAGAGGCGCAAGCUUCUGCUGACGGAUGGACCCGCGGUGCAUUAGCUAGUUGGUGAGGUAACGGCUCACCAAGGCCGUGAUGCAUAGCCGACCUGAGAGGGUGAUCGGCCACAUUGGGACUGAGACACGGUCCAAACUCCUACGGGAGGCAGCAGUAGGGAAUCGUCCGCAAUGGACGCAAGUCUGACGGAGCAACGCCGCGUGAGUGAAGAAGGUUUUCGGAUCGUAAAACUCUGUUGUUAGAGAAGAACAAGUGCUAGAGUAACUGUUAGCGCCUUGACGGUAUCUAACCAGAAAGCCACGGCUAACUACGUG